This 460-nucleotide ribosomal RNA is filed under the name uncultured bacterium. RNAcentral's name for it is "partial 16S ribosomal RNA". It matches the Rfam family "Bacterial small subunit ribosomal RNA", at positions 338 to 795 of the family's 1533-position model. The record is from RNAcentral.
CCUACGGGUGGCAGCAGUGAGGAAUAUUGGUCAAUGGACGCGAGCCUGAACCAGCCAAGUAGCGUGAAGGAUGACUGCCCUAUGGGUUGUAAACUUCUUUUAUACAGGAAUAAAGUCAGGUACGGGUACCUGUUUGCAUGUACCUUAUGAAUAAGGAUCGGCUAACUCCGUGCCAGCAGCCGCGGUAAUACGGAGGAUUCGAGCGUUAUCCGGAUUUAUUGGGUUUAAAGGGAGCGUAGGUGGUUGUGUAAGUUAGUUGUGAAAGUUUGGGGCUCAACCGCAAAAUUGCAUUUGAUACUGGUGGUCUUGAGUGUAGUUGAGGUAGGCGGAAUGCGUGGUGUAGCGGUGAAAUGCUUAGAUAUCACGAAGAACACCGAUUGCGAAGGCAGCCUGCCAAGCUACAACUGACAUUGAGGCACGAAAGUGUGGGUAUCAAACAGGAUUAGAUACCCGUGUAGUC